CCUCCUUUCUAGAGAAAGAUGGUGAGUUACAAAAGGUAAAUUUUACUCUUUGCUGUUAAUUUUAUAAUAAAAAAAGUAUUAAGCUAUUAUAGUCUCGUAGCUCAGCUGGUUAGAGCGCUACACUGAUAAUGUAGAGGUCGGCAGUUCGAGUCUGCCCGGGACUACAAAUACUUACUACUUAAAGGAAAUUCUAGAAGUUGGAGUAAUUAGGAUACUAAUUACAGAUCACUAAUUACUAACUACUAGUAAAUGGGGGAUUAGCUCAGCUGGCUAGAGCGCUUGCCUUGCACGCAAGAGGUCAUCGGUUCGACUCCGAUAUUCUCCACAACGAUUUUACUUUUUUUAAAUAAGGAGUAGUAUCACAAGUUCAUUGACAUAUUGGUAAAAUGAUAUCGUAAGAAUCAAAUAGAUUGAGAACGUUUAGAUUUUAAUCUAAACAAUUUAUAUUAAAAUAUAAAAGAGCUCGUUGCAGUAUUUAUACUGUAGCAAAAAGUACAAUAAGUUAAGUAAGGGCGUAUGGCGGAUGCCUAGGCUCUCAAAAACGACCAAGGACGUGAU
This 558-nucleotide unclassified non-coding RNA is filed under the name uncultured Bacteroidota bacterium. RNAcentral's name for it is "uncultured Bacteroidetes bacterium partial 16S-23S ribosomal RNA intergenic spacer". The stretch from base 91 to 164 matches the Rfam family "tRNA". Lineage: Bacteria; Pseudomonadati; Bacteroidota. The record is from RNAcentral.